GUGAGGAAUAUUGGUCAAUGGACGGAAGUCUGAACCAGCCAAGUAGCGUGCAGGAUGACGGCCCUAUGGGUUGUAAACUGCUUUUAUGCGGGGGUAAAGUGAGUGACGUGUCAUUCAUUGCAAGUACCGCAAGAAUAAGGACCGGCUAAUUCCGUGCCAGCAGCCGCGGUAAUACGGAAGGUCCUGGUGUUAUCCGGAUUUAUUGGGUUUAAAGGGAGCGUAGGCCGUCAGGCAAGCGUGUUGUGAAAUGUCGUGGCUCAACCAUGGACUUGCAGCGCGAACUGCCCGACUGGAGUGCGCGGAAAGCAGGCGGAAUUUGUGGUGUAGCGGUGAAAUGCUUAGAUAUCACGAAGAACCCCGAUUGCGAAGGCAGCCUGCUGUAGCGCUACUGACGCUGAAGCUCGAAAGUGCGGGUAUCGAACAGGAUUAGAAACCCUAGUAGUCC
RNAcentral lists this ribosomal RNA (445 nucleotides) under uncultured bacterium. Its description in RNAcentral is "partial 16S ribosomal RNA". It matches the Rfam family "Bacterial small subunit ribosomal RNA", at positions 354 to 796 of the family's 1533-position model. The record is from RNAcentral.